AAUAAUCUCUAAGGGAGCUACCAUUUGAUUUUUAUGGGGGGGGCUAGGAUGAAAUUUGAAAAAAAUAGGCAGGACAGGAGUUUUGAGUAAAAAAAAAGGCAGGAUGAGACACUUUGCAAAAAAAAAAGGCAGGAUGACAAUUUAGGUAAAAAAAGUCAGGAUAAACUAAUAAAAAAAAAUGGUAGGACCGAAUAGAGUGAAAAAUAAAAAGGCAGGACAGAGAUUACAACUAAAAAAAAAAAUGCAGGACAAAAUUUUUCAUCCUAGCCCCCCCAUAAAAAUCAAAUGGUAGCUCCCUAAUGCA
This 304-nucleotide long non-coding RNA is filed under the name Mytilus galloprovincialis (Mediterranean mussel). Lineage: Eukaryota; Metazoa; Mollusca; Bivalvia; Mytilida; Mytilidae. The record is from RNAcentral.